GAUGAACGCUAGCGGCAGGCUUAACACAUGCAAGCCGAGGGGCAGCGCGGGAUAGCAAUAUCCUGGCGGCGACCGGCGGAAGGGUGCGUAACGCGUGAGCGACAUGCCCGUUGCCCGGGGACAACCGGUGGAAACGCCGACUAAUCCCCGAUGGGAUACGAUGCUUCAUGGCAUUGUAUUGAAAGUUACGGCGGCGACGGAUUGGCUCGCGUCCGAUUAGCUGGUUGGCGGGGUAACGGCCCACCAAGGCUGCGAUCGGUAGGGGUUCUGAGAGGAAGGCCCCCCACAAUGGGACUGAGACACGGCCCAUACUCCUACGGGAGGCAGCAGUGAGGAAUAUUGGUCAAUGGGCGGAAGCCUGAACCAGCCAUGCCGCGUGCGGGAAGGAGGCCCUAUGGGCUGUGAACCGCUUUUGCCUGGGGGCAAUAAGGGCGUCGCGCACGUCCGAUGAGAGUACCAGGCGAAUAAGCAUCGGCCAACUCCGUG
RNAcentral lists this ribosomal RNA (486 nucleotides) under uncultured bacterium. RNAcentral's name for it is "partial 16S ribosomal RNA". It matches the Rfam family "Bacterial small subunit ribosomal RNA", at positions 28 to 507 of the family's 1533-position model. The record is from RNAcentral.